Molecule: ribosomal RNA, 253 nt
Filed under: uncultured bacterium
Lineage: Bacteria
Description: partial 16S ribosomal RNA
Rfam family: Bacterial small subunit ribosomal RNA
Source: RNAcentral
UACGUAGGGUGCGAGCGUUGUCCGGAAUUAUUGGGCGUAAAGAGCUCGUAGGCGGUCUGUCGCGUCGGCUGUGAAAACCCGUGGCUCAACCCCGGGCCUGCAGUCGAUACGGGCAGACUAGAGUGCGGUAGGGGAGACUGGAAUUCCUGGUGUAGCGGUGAAAUGCGCAGAUAUCAGGAGGAACACCGGUGGCGAAGGCGGGUCUCUGGGCCGUAACUGACGCUGAGGAGCGAAAGCGUGGGGAGCGAACAGG